UUAAGAGUCUGACUAAGCAAAGAGAACCUGCAUGUGCACAGGAAGUGGAAAGUGAAUGCCCAAUGAAGAAGUGAGCUUCGAGUGUGUGCUCAAAUCAACAAGAUUUCAGGGGACUUGGGGGAGAGCUUGCGCCAGAGCAAGUCAUAGAACACAGGGGCCUCGUCCACCAUCCUGGGAAUUUGUUCUGUGUGUAGCAGUCUACACUUCUACCUUCCAGCUAGAGUAACAGUUGGUGGAGCCCUCAUCAGCCUGAAUGGGUGGGGCUCCGAGCCAUCUCUAAGGAGGGGUUAAACUGGAUUAAGUCACAAUGUGCAUCCCUCCCAAACGUGCAAGUUAUUAGCAACCUGAUGGAGGGUUAAGAGAAACGUUGAGGGAACACCCAAUGUUUCAAAACAGGGAGCCUAAGGGAUGGCCAGCGGAAAGAAGGCAGAAGGACGGAAGAAUCUAUGAGGUGUGACUUCAAAAUAGAUACCAUGUUUCUUAUCUGAGUUGUGUUAGGCUCUCCUGCCCUGGUGCUACCUUUUAGGUUUGUUUUCUUCCCCAUCUCCCGUGUCUUCAAACCAACGUUCAAUGAAUUUGUCAGCACACUGUGGAGGCCAGAACAACAGUCACAGCCCCCAAAAUGAUCAACAGAGCAGAUUCCAGUGAUCGAUCGAUCAGCAUUCUGUAGCCCAAAGUGGGGAGAAUGAUAGAAGGCAUGUCUUUCUGUAUUCUAUCAGGGCCUUGGGCACUACGUCUUGAUGAUUAAGCCAGAGGAUUGCUUCUCAGCUCUAAGCAUUCUCCUAGAGGCCUUCUCCCCUGGCACACGUCAAAGGUGGGACCUGAGAGAGGGAAGUGAGCCAGAACAAGUAUCUCAUCCAAUGACCUUACCCCCAGAAGACAGACAGGGAAGGGAGCUAGAAUAAGAGAACCUGAACACUGAGCAUGAAAGGAAACAACUCAAACAAAAGAGGGGUCAUUUGUGGACUCUCAAAAGCUAGUGUUAAAAAAACAGACUUGACCUAUGUGUCGGAGUUCUGGGUUGAGGCUCUCUCCUAGAACUGUUAAUCCCAUGCUCCUACCCCAAUUCUGAGUGAGUGCCUUAUACGCAGAUAAUCAAAGUGGAUUUUUGUCUAAUUAAUCACAAACCGUUUUAGGUCUUCUUAGGGUCUUCUUCCCUUUUCUUCAUCUUUUCUUCUCUCUCCCCUGAUUCCUUCCUUUAGCCCCUACACAUUUAUUGAGCAGUUACUAUAUGCUAGACACUAUGCUGUCUAGAGAUUUAGGAUGAAAGGAAUUUAAAGAUGAAUGAAUCACAGCUCCUUAUGUCAAAGAGUUUACAGUUGAGAUGCAGCCAUGUGUGUGCGUUGGGGUGAGGAAGAGACAGACACAUGGUCUUUAUCUGCGAUGGUGUGACAGGACCUGUAUUAGGACAAUGCCAGGUAUGGUGGUGGAACAAAAGAGAGCUGUCAAUUACUCAUUGGGAGUGCUGGUCAGAGAUCUCUUCCAGGAAAGGUAACCCCUGAGCUAAGUCUUAAAACGUGACCUGGGCAGACUUUCUAAAAGCAGAAAUGGAGCAGGAGGUAGUGCAGAUACACAAGCAACAGGCAGAGAGGAGAGUGGGAUCUGCCGUCCAGAACAUAGCUUCACGAAGGGCAGAGUCAGCAACAGAGCUAGAAAGGUAGGUGGAGGUCAGACCAAGGGGAGCCAGGGUCCCAGGUCUGAGCUUAAUUCCACAGGCUGUGGACCACACAAGGAUUUCUAGGCAGAAGAACAAGAUUAGACCCGUGUUUCAGCCAAGUUAUUCUGGCCACAGGGUGUAGGAUGGGUUGAUGGGAAGAGAGACAACCUCUUCCAUGUGAGAGCUCAUUGCAAGAGCCCAAAAAGGAACAAGCAUCAAAACUAGGCUACAGGGUAGCAGAAAUGGGAAGCAAACAGCAAGUGGGAGGGACGCUGCAGGGAAACACAAGGUAGAAUUUGCAUGACCUGACUGAGCAAGCAGAGGAAUCAACUAGAAUUCAGACUGAGCUAUUCCAGAGUAUGGUUAUGCAUUCAGGCAAAAUCUAGAGAUGAUGGGGAACUUGGAAAUCCCUCUUUUUGCUUUGGCAAACCAUUAUGUAAUAAAAGAGACAGUCUGACACAGUAGCCUUCAGUGAACGUCAGCUACUAUUACUAUUAUUAUCAGCAUCAGUUGGAAGAUGCACACUGAACAAUGUCAGGACCUUAACCUCAACUGGCAUCUGGGAAGAAGUAGCAUUAGGAAAGGCCUUUUCUCAAAAUGCUGUGUGUUCUUGGUGCAUUCAUCACACUCGCUUGGCUUACAAUCGCUUCAUAUUUCAUAUUUUCAAAAAAUAGUAGAAGUCAUUCAACUCCCCAGUGGCUUCUCACCGAUAUAGGUGAAAUCUGUUUUUACGGUGGCCUCGUAAGCCCUGUAAGGUUCUGUCCCAACUCCCUGUCUAAUACCCUCUCGAUUUUCCCAUGGCUUCCUUCACUGCAGCCACAGACUGCUUUGCUGUUCUUUACACACAGCCGACACGUGCCCACCUUAGGGUCUAUGCACUUGGUAUUCCCUCUGCCUGGAAUCCUCUUUGCUUCCUCACUUCCUUCCAUUGUUUGCUUCAAUUCCAUUUCCUCAAAUAGGGCCUUUGUCGACCUUCAAUCAGUCCCUAUUCCCUUAUCCUGCAUUAUUUUCCUUCAUUGGACUCGUUGUCUAGUAAUAUGUCCAGACCUCUUAUUAUAUACAAGAUUGUUUAUUUCUUCAUGGUCUGCAUUCCUUGCUUUGUUAUACGCUUUGUUCUGUUUAAGGUGUUACUGGGCCUAAAACUGAGCUUGGUACUCCACAAGAGUACAGACUUUUCAUAGAUAUUCAUUGAAUAAAUGAAGCAAUUCCUCUUGUAAAUACUCUUUUGUCUUGGUUUCCCUGGUUUUCUCCUUACUUCUUCAGACAUUCCUUUUUAGUACACCUUUGCUAGGUUUUUCUUUUCUAACUGAUUUCUGAAUGCUGGUGUUAUUCAGGACUCCAUCCUGGAAUCGUUUUUUCCUCUCUUCCAGCCUAGGUGAUCUAAUCCAUUUCUGUGAAUAUAAAUACCAUCUUUAAAUCUAAAUUGCUUCCAAAUUUUGUCUCUGUCCCAGAACCCCAGAUGCAGACAGCCAAAUGCCUACUUGACUUCUCCACUUGAAUGGAUAAGAGGCAUUUCAAAAUUAACAUCUCCAUAACUGAAAUCUUGAUCCCCCUGCCGUGCAAUACCCCAACCCAAACCUAACACCCUCUAGAAUUUCUGGAAGGGAAGGUCAAUCUGGUUGGAAAGAGGGGAAACCUGUCCCAUUUACAAAGGACUUUAUUUAAGUAAGGUUUUUAAAAAAUCAGUUGUAUCAAAGAAGGAGAGGACAAGUAAUAGAAAUUAUGAGGAGCAUCAAACCCUCUUUGGCACUAGCACUGUCCUCCCUCCCCCAAUUCUUGCUGUCUUAGAAAAAGACACCACCUGCCACGGGGUUACUCAAGCCAAAACCCUAGGGUUCCUCCCUUUCUCUCGCGUUGUCGACAUCCGAUCCGUCAGUUAGCUCUUUUUUCCCCAAAGUGCAAUUUGAAGCCAUCCUCCUCCCCCUUCACUUCUCCUGUCUCUUUUCUGUUCUAGAUCACCAUCAUCUCUCACAUGGACUUCUUAAGGGACCUCUUAACUAGUAUCCCCAUGCCCAUUCUUGCUGCUUUGAACCUAUUCGCCAAAUGGCAACAAGACUGAUCUUUUUUAGCUGUCAACCAUAUCAUGACACUUUUCAAAAAGAUCUUUCAACGAUCACCCACACACUUAGUAGUGCUUAGACCCUUGACCCUGCCAUGCCCAAAUCCCUGCUGAUCCACUUCAUCCUCGGCAUGCACCUCACCUUCUCCACCUGAGUGGACAUACUGCUGCAACAUCAGCCAGUCUUCUGUCUAUUCUGAUGACCCACCAAACUAUUUAUUGUCUGAGACCAUUACAUAUGCUGUUCCCUCUGUCUAGAAUGCCCUCCUUUUGAUUCUUCACAUGACUAGCUCUAUUCCUUAGCAUCCUUCUUCAUUUUAAAUGGCAUC
This is a long non-coding RNA of Felis catus (domestic cat), 4045 nucleotides long. RefSeq lists it as uncharacterized. NCBI's taxonomy places the organism in Eukaryota, Metazoa, Chordata, Mammalia, Carnivora, Felidae. The record is from RefSeq and is a predicted model, not a curated record. The transcript has 3 exons.